GAUGAACGCUGGCGGCGUGCCUAAUACAUGCAAGUAGAACGCUGAAGGAGGAGCUUGCUCUUCUGGAUGAGUUGCGAACGGGUGAGUAACGCGUAGGUAACCUGCCUUGUAGCGGGGGAUAACUAUUGGAAACGAUAGCUAAUACCGCAUGACAACAGUUAUUGCAUGAUAACUGUUUAAAAGGGGCAACUGCUCCACUACCAGAUGGACCUGCGUUGUAUUAGCUAGUUGGUGAGGUAACGGCUCACCAAGGCGACGAUACAUAGCCGACCUGAGAGGGUGAUCGGCCACACUGGGAAUGAGACACGGCCCAGACGUUUACGGGAGGCAGCAGUAGGGAAUCUUCGGAAAUGGACGGAAGUCUGAACGAGCAACGCCGCGUGAGUGAAGAAGGUUUUCGGAUCGUAAAGCUCUGUUGUAAGAGAAGAACGAGUGUGAGAGUGGAAAGUUCACACUGUGACGGUAUCUUACCAGAAAGGGACGGCUAACUACGUG
Molecule: ribosomal RNA, 495 nt
Filed under: uncultured bacterium
Lineage: Bacteria
Description: partial 16S ribosomal RNA
Rfam family: Bacterial small subunit ribosomal RNA
Source: RNAcentral